Molecule: long non-coding RNA, 3031 nt
Organism: Athene cunicularia (burrowing owl)
Lineage: Eukaryota; Metazoa; Chordata; Aves; Strigiformes; Strigidae
Exons: 3
Source: RefSeq, a predicted model, not a curated record
AAAACUUCAACAGAAGUACUUCCAUUUGAUAUAGGAGAAGGAUUUAUGCAGCAGGAUUUUUUUAUGAAGCAUAUACAAAUCACUUCCAAGGUUUUGACCUUCUAGAAAAUGUCAGUAACUUUGCAGAUGACAUUUUGUUGACAAUGUUAUUAGCCUUGAAUGUUUUCAUCAGCAUAAUUGCAUAUGCAAAAAAAAAAUCUGUGUGGCCUACAGAAAUUAUUACUUUAUAAAUGAAGAAGAGUACUUACUGCCAACAUUUCAGAAGCCCAGAAGAGACAAGGAGGCCAAACAUCUUGCUUCUAUCCUCUGGCAUAGCUUCUCAAAUGAAGGUGCAGAAGGCUGUAUAGACAAAAAUGAGCUUUCCCCUCCCACCACAUUUUAAAGACUGUGAUAUACCUGAUUUUGGUACCAUUGUCAGUAAGUAUAUGGCUGGAUGGCUGGAGAGUGAUGCAAAACAAUAGGUAGCCAUGAGCCAGUCAUCCGCAGCCUGACAGAUCUGCAUUCAGUGCUACGUGAUGAAAUGGUAUGACUUUGAAAAGCCCUAAAACUUCACGUACAGCCCUACAUUUGAAACAAGACUAAUCAGCUCAAUAGUACUGUGCUGAUGCACCUGUUUGCUUCUGCUUGGAUGUCUAGCUGUAGCUCUAUAGUGGGCACUUACAUAUAUAUGCAUGUAAGACAAUAUUCAUGCCUAUUGUUAACAUCUAUUUUUAAAGGUUGAAAACCCUGCUUACCUCCAGCAAAUGCUGCAAACAAUUGACUCACAAGUGAACUAUAAAUAAUGUUUGCAGCACAUAGCCCAUGCAACAUACUGCUCUAGCGUUACUGAAUAUUCAGAACCUGCUGCCUCUGGUAGCUAUAUACGUCAUGUUCAUGACAGGUUUAGUCUUCAGUAGCCCUGAGCCUAAGAUCUGGCAUGUGUUUUGGAACUAGAGCAUUUGCAGAUUAGAGAAUACUAGCCACAGGGCCAGGUAUGAUGUGGAAACUUGAAAAUACAAAGUGUCUGUACUGACAUUCUGAGUAUUACCACAUAAUAAUAUAAAAUAUAAAGUUUGGGAGGAGAUGAGGGGAAUGACUGACAAAUGCUGCCAAGCAUAAAGCAAUUUAAGCAGCUUCAGGGCCGGCCUCCAUCAUGUGCAAGGCUUCUGUUGUAGGCAGAUUUUUGAAGGAAAGACUGCAGGCAUGGAAAAUGGUAUGAAACCGGGUUUAGCAAGGAUAGAACUUAACAGACUAAGCUGAUAAAUGGUUGACCAGCAUCAAAACAAUUGUAGUAGAAGAUGGGAGCAGCUCUGGAAGGGCAACUGCAUGUUUCCACCAUGCUGAUUUGGCUCCCUUGGAGUUAAUAAACCAGCCCCUGUGCUGCCUGUCUGCACCCCAGGAAAGUGCAGAGUGCUCAGCUUGUUGGUGGACCAGGGGUGAAGGGAAGGAAAGGGAAUGGAUCUUCCACAUAUUGCCAGCCAGACUGAUGCAGUAAAUCUCAGCAUCCCCAUCACAACAGGACAGCCCUGCAGUCAGUUCCUUAUUUGGCAGGAAUAGAGUAAGAGGAAAGUGAAACACAUGGGCUAAAAGAAAGGAUCCCACCUACCACAGCUUAGUAUACACAGCACCAGCUCAGUGUUCAAUGCUGCAUUAUACCCGCUUCCAAGAAGGUUUAUUGUCCUGAAGGCAGGAGGAUAGGAGCUCAUGGAGGCAAGAGUCUAGUAGCAGUAUGGCCAGUGCCUUACUGUGCUGCAUCUCACAUAGAAUAUUCAACCAGAACCUGUAAUUCCAUGGUGCACACACAUACCAGCUGCCUUUACAUAAAAGUCAGCUUGUGUUUGGCCAUACCCAGCAGCUCAAGAUCUGUGUGAUGAGAAUGUGGCUACUUCUACAGAUACUGAAACAAAAUCACUGCAUUUGUGCCGCGUGUCUUGACAGCAGGCUUGCCAGACCAAAGCAGGCUAUGCUGAGCUGUCUUGGAGUCUGUUCACCUGCAUUAUGAAUUAUGCACUAACAGUCUAGCUGACUAAGUUAAUGUAUAUAUCUAUGUAUAUCAAAGAGCUAACUGUGGUGUUAAAAUGUCAAUACAUAAAUCAAGCUACAGAUUAAAUAUUUGGGUUUUGAGCAUUUGUUCUGAAAGAUUAAAUGAAUGAAACAGAUAUCCUAUUUCUGAUCAUUCUAUUCUUUUAAUAUUUGCCCAGGCAAAGCUAUCUUGUAGAUCACUCAGACAUUGCUGUCAAAACACAAGGUUAUAGUGAUUUUUACAUCUCAUGAUAAAUGAUGUCUUUGCUUUAUGGGAAAGGAUAGUUGCUCAUCGAAAAACUCUAAUCUUGAGUUACAACUGGUCAAAAAACUCAGCUAUUGGAGUCCAUAUCAAAUUUUUUAAAUGUUUUUACUUUCUCAUUGUGCUGUGAAAAUCACUCCAUACGUACUUGUGGGAAAAAGCUGAAGUAGAUUAAACAGAAAUGCCAUCAAAUGCAUAAAGGGCUGAACAGCAUCAUUUUGAUAUAAAUCUCAAACAAAUAUAAGUGCAUUCUUUGGCUGCCCUGAUAUAGAACCUGUAAUUGAAAUUCAGUCUGUAUUCUGGACUGUUUUCAGCUCUGCAGUAGGGUCAAGAGGUUUGAACAAAGAUAGAGUACUGGCUUGACCCUUUACCCUCUGCCUUACCACACUCUACUCAUUAUUUCAAUCUGCCAUUAAAGGAUUCUUCCAUCAGCUUUCAGAUAUCUGAACAUCACACAUAAAGUUGUGUGAAUUCAAACAAAAUUAAUCUCCAAUGUGCUGCUUUAUUUUGAAUGUACUAGUUGCUUGCAGAGGAAAAAAAUGUCUGAGCUGUUCUUAAAGUCAGUGAAAAGCAUUAAAGAUUCUCCCCUGAGAUGUGUCCCUUGUGGGGUUAACAUUUUCAGCAGAAGAUUUAAAAUCUCUCUGAUUCUGACUGACAAAGGAUUACAAAAUAGACUUUUCAUGGAAACACUGUAGAUUGUCCAUAUUCUUUGGCUUUUCUAGGACAUGCUUGAGGAAUCCUAAACCUGUUGUUUCUUACAAUGUAUUG